Ictalurus furcatus (blue catfish) is the source of this 2106-nucleotide long non-coding RNA. RefSeq lists it as uncharacterized. Lineage: Eukaryota; Metazoa; Chordata; Actinopteri; Siluriformes; Ictaluridae. The record is from RefSeq and is a predicted model, not a curated record. The transcript has 3 exons.
GCAUUUAUAUGGAAAUGUCUGUGACGUGUUGAUUCAGGUGCUAAUCUGUUGGUUGGUGUUACAGUUUCAUCAUUCCUGUGAGAAGUCAACAACCGCGUGCUGCUUGCGUCACGGACGGGGAAUCUGUUACAGCUAGAACGGUUACGGUGGAACUCAACAGGAGAAAAAUCACAGGAGAACACUCGGGUUCUUCGGUUCUCGCUCACCGCUCUCCGACGUCGUAAUAACGAGAAAUCCGGCGUAGGAGGAGUGAAGACGACAAACAGUGGCUGGACGCGAAGUUCCACAAUGCAACGCCGCUAAAUGACGCAGUCGCAUGGAGCCGACGGACGUAUUAGCAUGGAAGCUCACGCUUCGGAACCGGAUCUGCUCGAGCGUACAGGUUUUGCCGGUGAUGACUGUAUUUGGUGUUAAAAAGGAUAAACCAACAUAAAGACCAGAGGGCUGUCUAUGGGAGAAAUGCAAGCCAUUUUCAAGCUGAGAAAAGAAGGAAGAGGCAUUGUACAAGCAUUGGGCAUAGCCAAAACGACAAUUAGGAAUGUCCUGAAAAAGAAAGGACCCACUGGUGUACUGAACAACCAUUCAUCGAACAGGUCGGCCAAGGAAAACAACAACAGCUGAUGGCAGAAAUAUAGUGAGAGCUGUGAAAUUAAACCCAAAAACAACAGGCGGUGACAUCACCAACAUCCUUCCCAGUGCAGGGGUGAAGAUGUAGGAAAUGCUGCAGCCUAGUGGUGAAGUGACUCCAGUCCAAGACCCACCAUAGCUCGUCUGCAUUGUUUUAUAUUUAUCCCACUCCUAAUAAACCUGAUCCGGCUCUCAAGAAUGCUGGAUAGAGCACAUGGACUGGACCAUUGGCUACACCUUCAUAAACAUCCACGUCCAAAAAGCCAAACAUAUCCUGCUUAGUCAAUUUUCCAGCACUUGUUUUUUCUUUCUUUCUUUCCUUCCAGAUACCAGACAGUUAAAUCACAAGCUUCCAGACACAGAGACGAUUUUUUCCCUGACAAGCUAUAACCCUGUAGCACUACCCAGGCACAACAACUUUUAUUUAUAGCCACUGCAAUUGCGAUUAGACUUCCUGAAGUUUAAAGUGAAAUAUGCAGAUAUUGCAGCUACAGCGGUGAUUAAUAUUUACGGUAGUGUUCAAUCUGUAGAUUCUGUAUAAACUGCAUUUUAUAUAUGCAGAAUGUUAUACAUUCUUAUUUUUAACCGCGUGCACUAUUUACUGCUUGGACUAAUUACUUAUUCAGCCUUCUUUCUAACACUGUUUUGUUGGUAUGGUGGCUUCGUGGUUAGCACAUUUGCCUCAUACCUCAAGGGGUUGGGGUUCGAAUCCCUCCCGAAUCCCUCCUGUGCACGUGAAGUUUGCAUGUUUUCCUCAUUCAUGGUGGGGGGGGAUUGGUUCCUCCGGGUACUCCAGUUUCCUCCCCCAGUCCAAAGACAUGUGUUGUAGGCUGAUUGGCGUCUCUAAAUUGUCCGUAGUGUGUGAAUGUGUGUGAUUGUGCCCUGCGAUGGGUUGACACCCCAUCCAGGGUGUCCGAGUUCCCUGGGAUAGACUCCAGGCUCCCCGCGACCCUGUGUAGGAUAAGUGGCAUGGAAAAUGGACGGAUGGAUGGAGAAUGCUGCUGCUGUAAAGAUGUGCUUUUGUCAUUUUUCUUUGCUGGCAUCCUCUCAACAUCUUAUAAGUCUUUCCAUUCCUUAACAGCCCGUCCUUUGCAUUCAUACUCCAUCCUCAUACAUCAGCUGAUGUACAGGAGCUUUGUCCCUUUAUUGUGAUUAGUACAAUAAGCCAGUGGGAGUCUAUACGUUUUUUUUUUCAAAGGAAAAUCAAGCGUGCAAAUUGAAAAGGAGAUUGCUUCAAAUAGAUUGUACCUGCUACUACAGGUGUCUACAAAGUUUGCUCUCUGUGAAACCCUUAUUAAGCACAAGGUCACAUGUGGUAUAGGUAUUACAUCAAAUUCAAUGACGCCCUGUGGAAAAUGAUGGUGGUAGUGAAGUGGUGUUCAGAGCUGGAGAUGAACUGCAUGGUGUUUCCAUCAGUGGAACAAUUAAAGUAUAAUUGAAAUAACCAGCUCAGAUGCAGCGCAGACAACAAAUAAGAUG